GUGAAAUUGAACUCGCUGUGAAGAUGCAGUGUACCCGCGGCAAGACGGAAAGACCCCGUGAACCUUUACUAUAGCUUGACACUGAACAUUGAGCCUUGAUGUGUAGGAUAGGUGGGAGGCUUUGAAGUGUGGACGCCAGUCUGCAUGGAGCCGACCUUGAAAUACCACCCUUUAAUGUUUGAUGUUCUAACGUUGACCCGUAAUCCGGGUUGCGGACAGUGUCUGGUGGGUAGUUUGACUGGGGCGGUCUCCUCCUAAAGAGUAACGGAGGAGCACGAAGGUUGGCUAAUCCUGGUCGGACAUCAGGAGGUUAGUGCAAUGGCAUAAGCCAGCUUGACUGCGAGCGUGACGGCGCGAGCAGGUGCGAAAGCAGGUCAUAGUGAUCCGGUGGUUCUGAAUGGAAGGGCCAUCGCUCAACGGAUAAAAGGUACUCCGGGGAUAACAGGCUGAUACCGCCCAAGAGUUCAUAUCGACGGCGGUGUUUGGCACCUCGAUGUCGGCUCAUCACAUCCUGGGGCUGAAGUAGGUCCCAAGGGUAUGGCUGUUCGCCAUUUAAAGUGGUACGCGAGCUGGGUUUAGAACGUCGUGAGACAGUUCGGUCCCUAUCUGCCGUGGGCGCUGGAGAACUGAGGGGGGCUGCUCCUAGUACGAGAGGACCGGAGUGGACGCAUCACUGGUGUUCGGGUUGUCAUGCCAAUGGCACUGCCCGGUAGCUAAAUGCGGAAGAGAUAAGUGCUGAAAGCAUCUAAGCACGAAACUUGCCCCGAGAUGAGUUCUCCCUGACUCCUUGAGAGUCCUGAAGGAACGUUGAAGACGACGACGUUGAUAGGCCGGGUGUGUAAGCGCAGCGAUGCGUUGAGCUAACCGGUACUAAUGAACCGUGAGGCUUAACCUUACAACGCCGAAGGUGUUU
Molecule: ribosomal RNA, 913 nt
Filed under: Shigella flexneri
Lineage: Bacteria; Pseudomonadati; Pseudomonadota; Gammaproteobacteria; Enterobacterales; Enterobacteriaceae
Description: partial 23S ribosomal RNA
Rfam family: Bacterial large subunit ribosomal RNA
Source: RNAcentral